GAACUUAAGCAUAUCAAUAAGCGCAGGAAAAGAAACCAACAGGGAUUGCCUCAGUAACGGCGAGUGAAGCGGCAACAGCCCAAAUUUGAAAUCUGGCCUCUCGGGGUCCGAGUUGUAAUUUGUAGAGGAUGUUUUGGGUACCGCCCCGGUCUAAAUUUCUUGGAACAGAAUGUCAAAGAGGGUGAGAAUCCCGUCUUGGACCGGCGGUAGGGCCUGUGUAAAACUCCUUCGACGAGUCGAGUUGUUUGGGAAUGCAGCUCAAAAUGGGUGGUAAAUUUCAUCUAAAGCUAAAUAUUGGCCAGAGACCGAUAGCGCACAAGUAGAGUGAUCGAAAGAUGAAAAGCACUUUGAAAAGAGAGUUAAACAGUAUGUGAAAUUGUUGAAAGGGAAGCGCUUGCAACCAGACUUGAGCGCGGCGGUUCCCCUGGCCUUUUGGCCAGGUUACUCCGUCGUGUCCAGGCCAACAUCGGUUUCGAGGGUCGGUCAAAGGCUCCGGGAAUGUAUCUACCCACGGGUAGACUUAUAGACCGGGGUGUCAUGCGACCUCUCGGGACCGAGGAACGCGCUUCGGCUCGGAUGUUGGCGUAAUGGUUGUCAGCGACCCGUCUUGAAACACGGACCAAGGAGUCUAACAUCUAUGCGAGUGUUUGGGUGUCAAACCCGGAACGCGAAAUGAAAGUGAACGGAGGUAGGAAGCUUCGGCUGCACUAUCGACCGAUCCUGAAGUUUACGGAAGGAUUUGAGUAAGAGCAUAGCUGUUGGGACCCGAAA
This 771-nucleotide ribosomal RNA is filed under the name uncultured fungus. RNAcentral's name for it is "eukaryotic LSU rRNA". It matches the Rfam family "Eukaryotic large subunit ribosomal RNA", at positions 30 to 821 of the family's 3401-position model. Lineage: Eukaryota; Fungi. The record is from RNAcentral.